CGGGCGGAGGGAGGGAGGGAGGGCUUUGUCUCGGCUCCCCCCUUUGCCUCCCCUGCCUCCUCCGCCGCCGCCGCCCGCUCCCUCGCUCUCGCUCUCCCUCUCCCGUCGCCGCGGCGCGGUGCGGAAGGUAGGUUGCAGCGCGUGUGGUGUACACACACCGCCCCGAGCAGGAAAAUGGACCCCUUAGGGAGGCAGGCAGGCGGUAGCCGCGCACGCUGCGCGCUCCCGGGGAGGCAGCGGCUAUGAGGAGGCGAGCGGAGGACGGGGGAACAAGCAGCAUAAAAAAGAAGUGUUGAGAGCUGCUCUUAACCCUUUUGGAGUCCGAAGUCAAAAGGGAACUAGGGGGCUUGAUACAUCCCUUGCAUCCUGCAUUUACUCUGACCACAGUCCCUCCCUGUUCUCACAAGUGGAGCUCUGCCCUGCUUCCCUUCCUGUUGAUUCCCAGUCAGCUACAUGCUAACAUGGCACAGACUUCAGUGAGGCUGCUGCAUCAGUGAGGACUGCAGGAUUUGGCCCAGCAGGUAUUAACUCAUAUAAAUCCUAUUGGGAGCUUUCUUUGCCUGCUGUCUGCCUUUUAGGGGGACUGCUGGGGGGCAGGAAGCAGAGCAGCUAGGACAGGCUAUCGGAGAACCUGCUGUGGCAUCAACUGCCCAUUGCUGGCUGGGAGCUGCCAGCUGACAUUUGAGAGAACAUGCUUUAUAUGAGAAAGUGAUGAGUGAAUGGAAAUUAAAACAAAAGGAUUGAAAAUAGAGCUGUAAUCAAUCUAGCCCCGGUAUCUCAGUAAACCAGGGAUGUUAUUUUCACAGGGAAUUUGGGGGUAG
RNAcentral lists this long non-coding RNA (821 nucleotides) under Anas platyrhynchos (mallard). RNAcentral describes it as "lncRNA (ENSAPLG00020007082.1)". The record is from RNAcentral. Lineage: Eukaryota; Metazoa; Chordata; Aves; Anseriformes; Anatidae.